Podarcis lilfordi (Lilford's wall lizard) is the source of this 75-nucleotide non-coding RNA. The record is from the annotation of a GenBank genome assembly. NCBI's taxonomy places the organism in Eukaryota, Metazoa, Chordata, Lepidosauria, Squamata, Lacertidae.
GUCCUGGAUAGCUCAGUCGGUUAGAGCAUGGUGUUGGUAACGCCAAGGUUGCAGGUUCGAUCCCCGUAUAGGACA